UGAACAAAACAGACAUGAACCUCGACAACAAAAAACACAAAGCUCAUAUCUAUCUCUAUCGUACAAAAUCGGAUUCUUUUUAGGGAGGAUGAAGUAAACCUAAGACAAGUGAUGCCUGCGACUAGUUAGAGAAAAAAUAGAAGCAACAGAAUGGGCGAUUCCAACCAGGAUAGCCACUUUCACUUUACCCCUCCUCGGGAUCGGACGUCCGGCGGCCCUCGGUGAAAGGCUCCCAUUGUUGAUACUUUCUCUCCUUGCACCGCCCAUUUCUUCUUACAGAUGAAAAGAAAACAGAAACAGAGAGCAAGUGUGGGAAAGUCUUGACGGUGGUUUGGGUUAGUUGAUUGUGGAGCGAGCUUGUGUUGUGCAUUGCUUAUAUAAAGAGAAGAACAAAUGGAUUGCCCUUUGUUUGUUACUAAUAUUACAGUUAUGCCCCCAAGAAAGAGUUUGACUAUGGGUUGACUAUAUUGUCGUUGUGAAGGGUUGCAUUCACAUUGUGGUCAUGUGCUGCCAGUUGGUUGUUUUUGACUCCAGUACUUUAAUUGUGCUUUCAAUCCUUGUAUUUUCUUAUUUAUACAAUUUAGUCUCCUAGCUGUCCACUGGGAUGGCUUACAAAAAUAAAAUUCAAUAAAUAAAUUUUAAUACUUCAAAUAUUUGAUUUAAAAUUGAACUAAAAUCUUUUUUGUUUCAAUUAACGGAUUGUUCAAAGUUGAAAAACAGGAAAAGAUGGUUUAUAUAUAAGAAAAUAAAUAUAAAAUGACGUGUCAAAAACAUAUUGGAGUGAAUGACCCACACACCAAAGAUUGCAUCGAGUGUGGUCAGUAGUGUGAACAUGGGAUUGAUUGGGAAUAUUAUAUUGCAAAAGAUGAGUUGGGUUAUAAAGACAGCGCAGUUUAAAGCAAUCACAAAAGUAAGGUUUUGAGUUUUUUAAUGGCUGCUCCCAUUAACUUAAAAUAGAAAAGAAAAUAAAAGCCAUUCUCUACUUCGCUUAAAAUCAAAUUAUUUCAUUCUUCCGUCAAUAAUUAAUUCGAUUCGAAAUCGAGUAAUUAACUGAUUAAUCGAAAUAAAUAAUAUAUAUUAUAUAAAAUUAUUAUCUUUUUAUUUACUUAUUAACUUUUAAGAUUUAUGUAGUGUUUCUAAUGUCUUAUUUGUUGUUUUCACCUCCAUUUAAAGUUUUUUGAACUAUUAAAAAAAUGAACAUUAGCCAUGUAUUUUUUUAUAUGUUUUAUGCAUAUUUUAAUCAAAAGACAAAAAAACAUAUAAAUUUCGAUACCAAAUUAACCAAAAUAUUUCGAUUCUGUUAAUGUAUUUGAAAAAAACUUCGGUUCUAUUAACGAUUAAAGAUUUUUACAUUUUGGUAAUUUGGUUUGGGUAUUAACUAAACCAACCGUUUGAACACCCCUACCAACGGUGACUUCUGUCUCUAUGGCACAUCCCCACUUCACUAACCACAAAUGUAUCGAGCCUAAAAGUUAAUUUAUUUAUUUUUAAUUUUGUUUGUAUUUCAUUUGUUAUUUUUUUAAAUUAUAUUGAUGUUUAUUUAAAUUUUUAUUUGUUUGUGUUUUUUUAAUUAAAUGGAUUUGUUCGCGAACAUUAAGUAAAUAAUAUUAUGAAACCCACAUGAUUUGAAGAAAAUAUAUUAGGAAGACCCCUGAAGGCAUCUAGUAAUCCAGCACAUCCAUCAACUUCUCAUGAAAUUAAAGAUAAAGUCUAUAUUAUUCGUGAUUGUUUGAAAGCUAAUUCUUAUCACCAGAAAUCGAAGGUUGAUUUAAAAAGAAAAGUUAUUGAAUAUCAAAUUGGCGAUAGAGUAUUUUUUAAAGUCUCCCCGUGGAAGAAAGUGUUACGGUUCAGCAGAAAAAGAAAGCUCAGUCCGAGAUUUAUUGGGCCGUAUGGAAUUACCGAAAGAAUUGGUCCAGUGGCUUACAAACUAGCAUUGCCUCCAGAACUUGAAAAGAUUCAUAAUGUUUUUCAUGUUUCGAUGCUUCGACGAUAUAGAUCGGACCCUUCCCAUGUGAUCACUCCCGACAAGGUAGAAUUACAGCCUAACUUGUCUUAUUUAGAAAAAGCAGUUAAGAUUUAAGCUUAGGAAAUGAAAUAACUACAUAACAAAAUAGUACCUCUAGUAAAAGUUCUGUGGCAACAACAUGGCAUUGAGGAAGCUACAUAGGAAACGGAAGAGUCAAUGAAAUCCUAAUAUCCAAACCUAUUUUCAGGUAAGAAAUUUCAAUUUUCUUAAGGGGUAGAGUUGUAACAACCUACUUUUAGUGGUACCGAAAACGGUGGUUUUGAAACCCCGUAUUUAACAUGUAGAUAAGAAAGUUUAUUUUGGGAAAUAGAAAAACUAAAUCGAGUUGGAUCAUAUUACAGAGUACUGGGUCAAAAAGACCCAGAAAGUACUCGUAAUUGGACCCGAUGUGAGAGAGGCCCAAAACCCCUCAUAUAACACGAAGGGGGAGGCAACCUUAAUAGAAAUACAAGGGUAAGUCGUUCACCCCUCUCCUAAUCUAAGUAGGAUGUUGUUUUUCUAUUUAAAAUAAAUAUCUACAACUCUACAAGGGUUCUAUCUUCUCUUCCUAUAAAUAGAUGACACCAAUAGAGCUAUUAAUAGAACUUUUGAGAGAUUGUUAUUCUGUCGAAAAAUAGAGAGAUUUAUUCUUAACUUAUAAACAUAUUUUUCAAAAUAUCAAUUUAUCAGUCUCUAUUAAAGAAGAGAGAAUUUUCGAUUUUGAUUCAAUUGGUUCGAGUCCACACUCGAAGCAAUUUGUCGUAUUAGAAUAGCGGAGAAGAUCGUUUGGUUGAAAGUUGAAAAACACCAAGGAUCCACUUAUCCAAAAACACAGGUAUGAAUUUGUUUAAGGUUUAUUGCUAUAAAUAUCAUAAACCGGGUCGAUUUUUAAAUUUUUAAUUUUCCACUGUGUAAGAAAACCGUUUUCAAAACAGUUUUUUUCCAACACUUUGGUGUGCAAAAGAGUUACUAGCAAAUGAACCUCAAGGAUACAAUGAAGCACAAUGAUUGUAUGUGUUUUGCACUAAUAGAAAUAGUCCAUUAAGUAUUGAGUGGAGUAUAGCAAGAGUAUCAAUUUCUAUAAAUAACUUCUGCAGUAAUUCUUUGUAGAACAAUAUUCAAUAUAAAAGAUGGUGAGAAAAUAGAAAGAAACUUUGGUUCUAUAUUUUUUAGUUGUCUCUUAGUAUUUUCUAGUAUGAAAUUCGACUCCUAUUUAUAGAAGUUCUCAUGUCUCUUUAUAGAGACAAAACUAUCCAAAUAGAUGUCACAUCUUUUAACAAUAAACAUAAUUAUUCAAUAGAGGCCUACUUGAAUGAUCAUGACUCUUUGUUAAUAAUCAAGUGAUAUAACUUUGGUAAUAAGAGACAUAACUCAUCACUAUGAAUAGUGACAACUCUUGGUUAAUAACCAUGUAACAUAACUUUUAGACCACUUGUAACUUUUUAAUUAUAACUAUUGUAACCUUAUAAAUAUUUUGAAAAUAUUUCAACAAUCUCCUCCCAUUUUCAAAAUAUUCUAGAUUUUGAUAAUCUUGGAAAUCAAUUACAAAUGAAUGUUCUUAUUAUUGAACCUUCACUCAGUGAAAACAUGCUAAAGUUAAUCGAAAUUGUAUGUUGGCUAAGCUUUGAACCAAUUAUUCCAUUUGAUUAACCGAACACAUCUCACACAACUCAACACCAGCUAAUGCACAUUAUCCAGGGACACUAUUAUGGUCAUGUGCCUAUAACCUAUUUUCACGAGUGUUGUUAGAGCCAAACCCUUGAGCUCCUUGAAGCGUCCAUACUUUCACUCACAUAGGUAAAUCCCAUUGAAAGUGAUCCCGUAAUUAUAACAUUAGGAAAUAGGUCUAUUAAGAGUAUAUUACUCAUCUUUCCCCUUAACAUUACGGGUAUCUAGCACUUUUUAUCCUGGGAUGAUAUAUUAAUUUACAGUGCUAGCAGUCACAUACGAAUAAUGUAUAUUGUCUCAUUAAACUUAAGACUUGACGUUAUACCAAGCGUUUGAAUCAAGUUUCCUUUAUAGGUGAUUCAAAUAGUAUGAGUUUGUACCUCAUCCCUAGAUUUCUAAAUUUUCAACAUAGUUAUGUUAAUUUUUCAUAUCAAAAGGUGUAUCUUUAUACUUAUUUCUAUCUUGAAAGUUUACAAGACCAACAUCCCCACCAUGUUCAAUUAUCUAUUCUUUUGCAAAAGAAUGCUAUCAAUGAUAUCCUUUGUACAAUUAUCAUUUUACAGUGAUCACUUUAUUUUUCUUUAUCACAAUGGUUUCACAUUUGUAUAUUUCAUUUAUUACCUGGCAUCCAAGAAAUUAAUAUCAUAAUUACAAAAUAUAUGAAACCAUACAUCAUGUCUUUUUCACCAGGUAAGUUAUUGUAAAGAGGCUUCAAAUUCCUUGGUGAAACAUGGCAACAUAUUUGCUAUUUUUCAUAGCUUCUUUUCGUAGUCAAUGGAAGACCUUUAAAACUUAUCAUACAUGCGUACUCAAAUAACACUUUUUUUUUUAACACAAAGGUGUUACAUAUAUUGUUUUGGAACAUAGUCAUAUUAGAGGACCAUCGACCAUCCAAUCAUUUAACUAUAACAUCACAUAUUUAUACAUUUUUUAUCAUGGACAUUUUUUUGUCAUUUUGUGACUAUCAUCAAAACUAUGUCCAUCACCUAAAUGGGUCAAAUAGUUUCAUAUUGUUAUUUUCAUAAUCACAAGAUCUUUUUAUUCAUGACUUCCAAAUUGAAUUUCAAAUUUUCACUAUAUCUCAAAAUUAUACCAAACCAUAUGUAUAAUACCAUGUGCACCACUUGGUGUGCAAAAGAGUUAUUGACAAAUGAAUCUCGAGGAUACAAUGAAACCCAAUGAUUGUCUAUGUUGUACACUAACGGGGAUGGACCAUUGAGCAUUAAGCGAAGCAUAGAAAGAGUAUCAAUUUCUAUAAAGAACUUCUGCAAUAACUCUUUAUAGAACAAUAUUUGAAUAUGAAAGAUGGUAAGAUAAUAGAAAGAAACUUUGUUUCUAUGCUUUAUGGUUGUCUCUUGGUAUUUUCUAGUAUGAAAUACCAUUCCUAUUUAUAGAAAUUGACAUGUCUCUUCAUAAAGACAUAACUAUCCAAAUAGAUAGUCAUAUCUUUUAAUAAUAAACAUAAUUAUUCAAUAGAUGUCUACUUGAAUAAUCAUGACUCUUUGUUAAUAAUCAAGUGACAUAACUUUUGGUAAGAAGAUGCAUAACUCAUUACUAUGAAUAGUGACAACUCUUGGUUUAUAACCAAGUGACAUAGCUUUUUAAUUAUAACUAUUGGAACAUUAUAAAUAUUAUGAAAAUGUUCCAACAAUAGAUAGGCUUGAAUUUGAGACGUUGAUGUAAUUCAUUUUGUACUUUAGAUAUAAAGAAACUUAACUAUAAAUAGCGGCUUUCCCCACUUUAUUUUAUUUCUUGUGUCAUUCAUUACUCAGUAAUGCAAGUGAUAGCGUUUGCUCAAAACUUUUCUUUUUGGAGUCUUUGUUUGUUUAUUGCGUGUUUCGUUUUACAAAACUUCUUUUAAAAAUUUCAAAGUGAAUUCACUGCAUGAAGUUAUACAAUUUACUAAGCUAAAGACCAAGCGGAUGACACUUACGUUAAAAGGAUUACAUGUCAAUAACAUAAAAAAGGAAAUUGUUAAUAUGGAUUGAACUAAUACGAUUAAUUGGGGAAAUAAUAUUUUAAAUUUAAAAUACUUGGGAUCUAACACAAAUUUAUGAUUAUUUGACAUCUCUAAUUCCCCAUAUAAUCUGCUAAAGCAAAAAAGUUGUGCUAUAUAAUAUAUGGUUAGAUGUCACUAUCUUAUUUAAUUACAAACUAUAUAUUAUCAUGGAACAAAUUAAGUAGUCAAUUAUUAAUUUGGCCAUCCACGGAUUUGAUAUAUAGUUUGAUUCAGUGAAUUGCCUCUGCAGGGGGAACUUUUACCCACAUGGCAUCUUUGCACUUUGAGGAAUGGCUGACACUUGUCGGACGUGAACAUAGGGGAUAGGGAGAGCUAUGGCCUCGCCCGAAACAAAACCAAAAAAAAACAUUGAUUUUCAUUUUGAUUUUGACUUUUUAAAAAAGAAGAGUAGUAAAUUACAUAAUAGUAAUUACCUCAAUAUCAUUUUACAACUUAUUCAGAAUUAAAGUAUCAAAUUCAUGGAAACCAUCAUUGUUAGCUGCUCCAUUAGAUUUCCUGUAAAUAUGCCCAAUGCCAACCACUCAUGCUUGAGCACAAAGCUCUUUUAUUCUGCAUCUCUCACUAUUAAUGAUUGCUUGAACUGCAGUUAAACAAUCAGACAACCCAUUUUCAUCCUUUAGACCAAAGCAAUUUAAGUCCAUCAUUGAUUAUCCAAAGUUCUACUUGUUCAACAUUACAAUUUCCAAAUAUUGUGACCAUAGCCAAAUAUUCAUCUGUCAUGGCUAUCUCUAGCAAUCCCAACUGAUCAGACAAGUCCAGUACUAGGUUUCCUUGUACCGUCUGUGUUCAUUUUGACGCAACCGGUUAUUGGUGACUUGCCAAAUGCUUGGUCUGAUUCGGUUUUUAAUCUCGACUGUUGGUUCCUUAUUAGCUUUAACAUUCACAGCCCAACAAAAGUAAAAACUUCCUUAAUUUGUUUCCAUACAAACCAGCAUAGUAUACUGGACGGAGUGUUACAAUUAACAUCUUUGAAUUGCAAAUUCAAUUCAUUAAAAAGAUUGACAUUCACCCAAGAUAAAAGUGACAGAUAUAAGAACAUGGAGUCAAUUAAAUUCAGAAUGAACUACUUCCAUAAUCCCUGAGCUUUAGGACAAUCGCGAAGUAUAUGAAAAAUAUUUUUUUUCCUGCAAAUCCACAAAAGCAACAACUAGCGUAAAUCCGCAUUUGCAUCUUUCUACGUUUUAGAGAAGCCACUCUUUUAAAACUAGCCAUAAAAACUGUCGAACACAUUGGGGUCAAGUUCCCAUUAAUUGUCCGAAAUAUCCCAAGAAUCACGAGAUAAAAAGGUAUAGUUAAUUCUCCAUUCGUAGACCAUUUAGAUACUAAUGAAUCCUAGAGGAUUCCAAGAUAGGUUGAGGCAUGGCAUGACACGCUCAUUGCCUUCCAUUGCUCUUUUAAUAUUUUCAAUCUUAUAUGCUGCUAUAAAUCUUCUGUUGAUUCCACAUUUACUCUUCAUUUUGUAUAUUUUAUUGUUAACUUAAUGAAAUACCCAGUACUAUUAAAAAAAAAAAACCCCCAUAGAUUUAAGCAGUUCAAUCAAUCUGAGAUUAAUAGAAUAAAGAAAAAGUGAGAAUUCAUUGAUCUGAAAGGUGUACAAAAACAGACAUGAACAUCAACAACAAAAAACACAAAGCUCAUAUCUUUCCCUGGAUAGGCAAAACCCUUCCUUCUCUUUCGUACAAAAUGGGAUUCUUUUUAGAGAGGAUGAAGUAAACCUAAGACAAGUGAUGGCUGCGACUACUUAGAGAAAAAAUAGAAGCAACAGAAUGGGCGAUUCCGACCAAGAUAGCUACUUUCACUUUACCCCUCCUCGGGAUCGGACGCCUGGCGGUUCUCGGUGAAAGGCUGCCGCUGUUGUUCCUUUCUCUCCUUGCACCGGCCAUUUCUUCUUCGUACAGAUUAAAAGAAAAUCUUGACAGUGGUCUGUGAUUGUUAUUGGUGGAGUGAG
RNAcentral lists this long non-coding RNA (7641 nucleotides) under Gossypium raimondii (Peruvian cotton). RNAcentral describes it as "long non-coding RNA (GRAI_LNC008414)". The record is from RNAcentral. Lineage: Eukaryota; Viridiplantae; Streptophyta; Magnoliopsida; Malvales; Malvaceae.